Dermochelys coriacea (leatherback sea turtle) is the source of this 433-nucleotide non-coding RNA. NCBI's taxonomy places the organism in Eukaryota, Metazoa, Chordata, Testudines, Dermochelyidae. The record is from the annotation of a RefSeq genome assembly.
CAGACCCCGUUUGCCUCAGGAAGCCAAGCUCGUCUGGAUCCCCACCAUGGCCUGGGCCCCUCUGCUCCUUGCGCUGCUCACGUACCGCUCAGGUGCCAGCUCCCAGUACGCAGUGACUCAGGAGCCCUCCUUGUUGGUGUCUCCUGGAGGGACUGUCAAACUCUCCUGUAGCUUGAGCAUCGUAUCUGACAUCACCAGCGAAUACCCGUACUGGAUCCAGCAGCGGCGGGGCGGGGUGCCUCGCCUCCUCAUCUACAAUGCUAACGUGAAAGUGUCAGGGACCCCCGAGCGGUUCUCUGGGUCCAGUUCCGGUAACAUGGCCUAUUUAACCAUCAGUGGGGCCCUGGCGGAGGACGACGCUGAUUAUUACUGCCUCACUCACCACUAUCAAAGAGGGGCUUUUAAGGCUACCCAGUGAGACACUCAGAUGGGG